GCCGGGCAUGGUGGCGUGUGCCUGUAAUCCCAGCUACUCAGGAGGCUGAGGCAGUAGAAUCGCUUGAACCCGGGAGACAGAAGUGGCAGUGAGCCGAGAUCGCGCCAUUGCACUCCAGCCUGGGUGACAGAGUGAGACUCCGUCUCAA
Molecule: signal recognition particle RNA, 148 nt
Filed under: Homo sapiens (human)
Lineage: Eukaryota; Metazoa; Chordata; Mammalia; Primates; Hominidae
Description: Metazoan signal recognition particle RNA
Rfam family: Metazoan signal recognition particle RNA
About the family: The signal recognition particle (SRP) is a universally conserved ribonucleoprotein. It is involved in the co-translational targeting of proteins to membranes. The eukaryotic SRP consists of a 300-nucleotide 7S RNA and six proteins: SRPs 72, 68, 54, 19, 14, and 9.
Source: Rfam by way of RNAcentral